GUUGCUCGGCCUCUUUCGCUCUUGCUAGUUUCCGCGAACUUUAGGCUAGCGGUAUGUAAGUUUUUAGCUUGCUCUUUAGAGUUCCACUCGGAAAGGUAAUAGUCUUCUUCAGUCACUUUCUUGGAGGAAGGUCCACAAAACAUACCUCCCCAUUGUGGAAAGUAAAUAAAACAUAUUGGUAAAGAACACGCAAUUGACAUAAUCCCCAUCAGUGUUAUACCCGUCUCUCUCGAGUAUGUUGAUCCUUUGAAGAAUAUCAAUUGAGUUAAAACCGCACCUACAUUACCUCCCGCACCUGUCAUUCCUGAU
This 309-nucleotide long non-coding RNA is filed under the name Eutrema salsugineum. RNAcentral describes it as "long non-coding RNA (ESAL_LNC000638)". Lineage: Eukaryota; Viridiplantae; Streptophyta; Magnoliopsida; Brassicales; Brassicaceae. The record is from RNAcentral.